UAGGGAAUCUUCGGCAAUGGGGGCAACCCUGACCGAGCAACGCCGCGUGAGUGAAGAAGGUUUUCGGAUCGUAAAGCUCUGUUGUAAGAGAAGAACGUGUGUGAGAGUGGAAAGUUCACACAGUGACGGUAACUUACCAGAAAGGGACGGCUAACUACGUGCCAGCAGCCGCGGUAAUACGUAGGUCCCGAGCGUUGUCCGGAUUUAUUGGGCGUAAAGCGAGCGCAGGCGGUUUAAUAAGUCUGAAGUUAAAGGCAGUGGCUUAACCAUUGUUCGCUUUGGAAACUGUUAAACUUGAGUGCAGAAGGGGAGAGUGGAAUUCCAUGUGUACCGGUGAAAUGCGUAGAUAUAUGGAGGAACACCGGUGGCGAAAGCGGCUCUCUGGUCUGUAACUGACGCUGAGGCUCGAAAGCGUGGGGAGCAAACAGG
This 429-nucleotide ribosomal RNA is filed under the name bacterium. RNAcentral describes it as "partial 16S ribosomal RNA". It matches the Rfam family "Bacterial small subunit ribosomal RNA", at positions 355 to 776 of the family's 1533-position model. The record is from RNAcentral.